GAGGUUGUAGCUCAGCGAUAGAGUGUGUGCCUAGCACAUGCGAGGUGCUGGGUUCAAUCCCCAGCACCACA
RNAcentral lists this transfer RNA (71 nucleotides) under Marmota monax (woodchuck). Its description in RNAcentral is "tRNA.Ala". The record is from RNAcentral. Lineage: Eukaryota; Metazoa; Chordata; Mammalia; Rodentia; Sciuridae.